This 505-nucleotide ribosomal RNA is filed under the name uncultured bacterium. Its description in RNAcentral is "partial 16S ribosomal RNA". It matches the Rfam family "Bacterial small subunit ribosomal RNA", at positions 28 to 507 of the family's 1533-position model. The record is from RNAcentral.
GACGAACGCUGGCGGCGUGCCUAAUACAUGCAAGUAGAACGCACAGUUUAUACCGUAGCUUGCUACACCAUAGACUGUGAGUUGCGAACGGGUGAGUAACGCGUAGGUAACCUGCCUGGUAGCGGGGGAUAACUAUUGGAAACGAUAGCUAAUACCGCAUAAUAUUAAUUAUUGCAUGAUAAUUAAUUGAAAGGUGCAAUUGCACCACUACCAGAUGGACCUGCGUUGUAUUAGCUAGUAGGUGAGGUAACGGCUCACCUAGGCGACGAUACAUAGCCGACCUGAGAGGGUGAUCGGCCACACUGGGACUGAGACACGGCCCAGACUCCUACGGGAGGCAGCAGUAGGGAAUCGUCGGCAAUGGACGAAAGUCUGACCGAGCAACGCCGCGUGAGUGAAGAAGGUUUUCGGAUCGUAAAGCUCUGUUGUAAGAGAAGAAAGGGUGUGAGAGUGGAAAGUUCACACUGUGACGGUAUCUUACCAGAAAGGGACGGCUAACUACGUG